Molecule: non-coding RNA, 99 nt
Organism: Rhizoctonia solani
Lineage: Eukaryota; Fungi; Basidiomycota; Agaricomycetes; Cantharellales; Ceratobasidiaceae
Source: the annotation of a RefSeq genome assembly
GGGCAUGUAGCGCAGUUGGUAGCGCGCUCGCUUAGCAGCAGCAACCACAAGUUGUUCAUGUGGUGCGAGAGGUCCUGGAUUCAAAUUCCAGCUUGUCCA